RNAcentral lists this ribosomal RNA (900 nucleotides) under Streptomyces sp. Its description in RNAcentral is "bacterial SSU rRNA". It matches the Rfam family "Bacterial small subunit ribosomal RNA", at positions 71 to 971 of the family's 1533-position model. The record is from RNAcentral. Lineage: Bacteria; Bacillati; Actinomycetota; Actinomycetes; Kitasatosporales; Streptomycetaceae.
CGCGCCCGUCGGGCGGGGGCAUGUAGUGGCGCAACGGGUGAGUAACACGUGGGCAAUCUGCCCUGCACUCUGGGCAAACUCCGGGAAACCGGAGCUAAUACCGGAUACGACCUUCCAGGGCAUCCUGGGGGGUGGAAAGCUCCGGCGGUGCAGGAUGAGCCCGCGGCCUAUCAGCUGGUUGGUGGGGUGACGGCCCACCAAGGCGACGACGGGUAGCCGGCCUGAGAGGGCGACCGGCCACACUGGGACUGAGACACGGCCCAGACUCCUACGGGAGGCAGCAGUGGGGAAUAUUGCACAAUGGGCGCAAGCCUGAUGCAGCGACGCCGCGUGAGGGAUGACGGCCUUCGGGUUGUAAACCUCUUUCAGCAGGGAAGAAGCGCAAGUGACGGUACCUGCAGAAGAAGCACCGGCUAACUACGUGCCAGCAGCCGCGGUAAUACGUAGGGUGCGAGCGUUGUCCGGAAUUAUUGGGCGUAAAGAGCUCGUAGGCGGCCUGUCGCGUCGGAUGUGAAAGCCCGGGGCUUAACCCCGGGUCUGCAUUCGAUACGGGCAGGCUAGAGUUCGGUAGGGGAGAUCGGAAUUCCUGGUGUAGCGGUGAAAUGCGCAGAUAUCAGGAGGAACACCGGUGGCGAAGGCGGAUCUCUGGGCCGAUACUGACGCUGAGGAGCGAAAGCGUGGGGAGCGAACAGGAUUAGAUACCCUGGUAGUCCACGCCGUAACGUUGGGGCACUAGGGUGUGGGGCGGCAUUCCACGUCGUCCGGUGCCGCAGCUAACGGCAUUUAAGUGCCCCGGCCUGGGGAAGUACGGGCCGCAAGGCUAAAAACUCAAGGAAUUGACGGGGGCCCGCACAGCCGGCGGAACCAAUGUGCUUAGUUCGACGCAUCGGCGAGAGAGAG